GCAAUCUCUUAGACUCUUCCUCUCCCAAUCAUCUCUCAUUUUCUCUCUCUCUAUCGUCAACUUUUCACCAUUUACACUCCAAGCCCCUGCAAAACCCUCCAAUUAUACAAAACCCCCAAAUUUUCACCUACGGUACCCUCUCUGCCUCCCUCUAUAUCCCAUUUUAAUUUCUAUUUCUCUCCAUUGUUCCUUUUAUUGUAAAUUUCUAUAAUUUUAGGGUUUCGUUUGAUCUUUUCAUACAACCUAGGGUUUUUUCUUUUUUCUGCUGCGUGCUUAGAUACUGGAGGAGAAUUGGAGCAUUAUCGUAGACUUCUGUCGAUUUAAUGGAGGCUGCGACCGGUGUCGUCGCCCCACGCGGUGCUUCUCUGUCGAUGCCAUCGUCUAGGAAGGAGUGGCGUGUCGUUUCCGACCACCAUUCCGUUCGAAACGCCGGUGAUGAGGAAUUGGAACGGCCAAAUUUGGGGCAAUCGGAUGAGAGAACAAUAUAUGAGCAUGGAAGAGCCCCAGCUGAUGUUGACUUCUGUUCGAUCAAUGUGGAUGGUAGUUUGGACAAUGACAUUAUGCAGCAGCGAAUUCAUAGUAUUACCAGGCAAAGAGAAGAGUUACAACAUAUGGAGAUUGAACUUAAAGCUCAGCUGAUCUCAAGAUCUGAGAUCAUGGAAAUGCGGAACAGAUUUGAUGCUCAAAUCAAAGAGCAUGAAGAUGCUGCUGCAAAACAUAAGGAACAACUUCUUGAAAGGGAACAAGCCAUACAUGAAUUAGAAAGGAGAAUGGAAGAGAAAGAUAGAGAAUUGCAUGCCAUUAAAUUGGAUAAUGAAGCGGCCUGGGCCAAGGAAGAUCUUCUCAGAGAGCAAAAUAAAGAAUUGGCAACAUUUAGAAGAGAGCGGGAUCAUUCUGAAGCUGAAAGGGCACAGCAUAUACAGCAAAUACGUGACCUUCAAGAACUUGUUCAAGAUAAAGAGAGGCAGAUUCUUGAAUUGCAGGAACAGGUCUAUUGAUUGGAAGUUUACAUAUCUGGUUCUCCAUUAAGAGUAUAAUUUGUGGUGCUUAUUUAAAAUUUUAACUAAUAGAAUAGCAAUUUGUAUUCUUCUUAGAUUCUUCCUUUAUCAAAUUGCUGAUCAAUUAAAUUAUUUAUCAAUGUGAGGAUCAGGAGGUCUGAUAUUGAUCUCAUCUUUCAGCAUAGAGCUAAUCAGGAGGCC
This 1199-nucleotide unclassified non-coding RNA is filed under the name Hevea brasiliensis (rubber tree). Lineage: Eukaryota; Viridiplantae; Streptophyta; Magnoliopsida; Malpighiales; Euphorbiaceae. The record is from RNAcentral.